GUUCUUUCUAAAAACUUACCUCCAACACCUACUGAAAAAUCAGACAAUAGUUUGAUGAUCUGAAGUCAUAUUUAGACCUUAACUCUGAGAGUUCAUUCACUGCUAACAAAGGAUUCCUUUCUCUGCUUCCUGGCAACAAUGAACUACUCAUCUCUGUCACUAUACCAUUCUACCAUGAUAUACCUGCCUUGAAGCCAACUGACCACGGACUGAAUACCCUGAGAGCUUUCCUUCAUAUUAAAUUUCUUCUCCUCUAAGUUCUACCACAGUUCCCAUAAAGCUACCAUUAUCUCUACACACAGUGUCCAUUGAGUCGUGCCUCAAGCCGUUAAUGGAAAUGUAUUAAAGGAUUUAUUGACCACCGUGGAGAAGCAGAGUUGAAGCAGAACUCAAACAAUGCCUUGAGCUUGCACAGUCCUUCUAUGUAAAGGAAUAUUUCAGGCUUCUAUUGAGUAAGCGAUGGCAAUAUAGGAUGUACUUCCUCUGCAUACAUAGCUUACGAUGUGAGUAGACUUGCCUCGAAAGGUAAGCAGCCUUUAUCUUUUUUCUAACAAGAGACAGAACAAACAAUUAAUACUGUUCUUAGCAAUAAAGACUUAGGUAAUCAGAUCAGGAAAUUCUAAUCCAGUAUCACCCAAACUGAAGAUCAUACCCUGAGGUUCAUAAUAACCUCUACUAAGGAUUCAAAUUCAGCACCUCCAAAACAGAUCAUAGUGUGAGUACCAAGAUAGUAAGAGGAAAUGUUACUGAUGAUAACAAAAUUUUGGGUCUUUGUCAAAUAAUUUAUUUUUUUUCCUAGAAGAAAAUAAAACUUCCUGGCCAGGUGGAGGAAGGGGAAGGCCUUCUUUUAUAGAAACAACAACAAAAAAAUAUUAGUCCUAGAGGCACAGUAUCCCUGCAGUUGGAGUCAACAUACUGAUUUUGUCUGGUUCCUGCACAUCUUUUGGUGGCACAUAGACUGUUACUGUAGAGCGUAGGGUCGAUUAUUGGGUAGCCCCAUAAUGGACAAGACAAAAUAAGGACAUUGGAGAGAAGCUUUGCAUUAUUCUCAAGUUUUAAGAAAAGAAAAAACAAAAACUCUGUUGUGAGCUAAGAUAUAAAAGGGCCUUCCAGAAAUAAAAAAAAAAAAUCAGUCACAAAAAUGGAAAAUAAUAAAAGGACUAUGUUUUAUUUCUAAACAUUGUCUAGCAUCACUCUUGACAUUUAAGAAUUUAGCUUCGGUAGAGUAGAAAUGAUUGCAUGUAACUUAUAAACAACUGAAAGUAGGUCUUGUAGAAUUCUUCCUAAAAUAGCAUAGAUGUGUAUAGAAACAUCUUUUUCCUUUGUGGUAAUUCCCAUCACUACAGAUUGUUUAAAUGUACUACCUAUAUUUUACCACAAUCAAAACAUUUACUUUCUUAUUUUAUAUUUUACUUGAUACAUAGCUAUUGUAUUUAUUGUUUUGAGUACAAUAGUAUGAUGAGUUAACUGUUAUUGGAAACAAUUGAUUAUAUAUUUCAAAAUAGCCAGCAGAGAGAAUUUUGAAUACUCGCAACCUAAAGAAAUGAUAGGUGUUCAAGGUGGUGAAUAUGCUAAUUAUCCUGAUCUCAUCAGUAUGCCAGUAUGCAUGGACAGAAGUAGUUCACUAUACUAAUUAUUGUAAUAAUUAGAGAGAGAGAGAGAGAGAGAGAGAGAGAGAGAGAGAGAUUCUAAAUUAAAUGGAUAUCCUAUCACUAUGUAGUUUGUUGUUAAUACCAUGGUGUCAUAAUGAAUUAUGAGGCAGCUAGGUCUUGAUUUGUAAAUAUCUGUGAGCUGUAAAUCCAUAUUCUUGAAAACAACACACUUAUAUCCAAAAGCAGGAGGUGAAAUUUAGACUACUGUGGAAAGCUUUCAUGACACACACACUCAGUUCUGCUUCUGGUAGACUGCAAGAGCACUGCACCAGAUAUGUCACAGUGCACGUGGGUUGUUUUAUCAGCAAAUUAUUCCAUCUACUGAGUGACAAGUUCAUAGGUGAAGAAACUCUCAUGUAGCAGGAGCCCAGAAAAUUAUAUACUGGUUCUGUAUCAUGGAUGUAUUGCAUCUCUUUGUGAAAAUAGCCAAAGCCAUGGGGAUCUGGUUAACCCCUAAUAGGCUGUGUUGUGUCCACUUCCCAGUAAAGGGCAUUGGAGCAGUAUGCUCCACAUUUUAUAUUGUUCAAGACCCACACAUCUUCAGUUAAUCUUGUGAGCGUGGUUUGUGCAGAGCCAUCAUCGGGAUAUCUUCAUUAAAAAUGAAUAUUUCAAUAUAUAAUUUUAGCUAAUAAUAUUCCAAGAGUUGUCUGAAUGAUUGAUGAAAUGUUAUAAAUCCUUUACAUACCUUUUCUAAAGAAGUGCAAAGAUGUCUUGCUGGUCCUGCAUCAUGGAAACAAAAUGGUAUUAGUCUUUUUUGGUUUUUUGUAAGAAAACCAUCACAAAAAGAAAGUGUCAGUAAUGUCAACAUUUCACAUCCAUUGUAGUAUUGGAAGAAGACAAUUCAGUACCAGUUAUGCCAUCGGUUGUUGCCAUAAUGCAGGAACUCUUUCCCUAUUUCCUGGUUUCCUGUGAUAUUCUCCAUAACGGGUCCAUGCUUCAGUUAUAUCCAUCAUUAAUAGAAUAGUAUAGCAUAAGACUUGAGCCUUUAUACUAUAUUGUGUGAGAAGAUGAAGCUAUUUUUUUCUAUUGGUAUAAGGUAUUAUUUUAAAAAUAUAAUCAUGACAAAUUUUGACAAAACGUAUCUAGAAAAGCACUGCAAAUGUAGUGAUGGAACCUAUCAACAAAAACUAAUGUGACCAGACAUAAUAGCAUAGUUUGUCUGGAUACCUACACAUUAAGCUUGAUACCCCAAAAUAUGCACACCAAACAGUGAGCAUUACGUGAUUAUCAGUCACAAUCAAAUCAUAGGAAACAGUAACAUCAAAGAUAAUUGUAGCUAUUGCAUCUUGGAGACUGUCAUGAACGAUGAAAUAGGAAUUCAUUUCCCAAGGCUCUGCCUUUCCUCAGGAAUAACAGAUUUCUAAACUCUAAUUUAAAUUAUGCGUAAACCAGAAUUACCUGAUAAAUCCCAAGCUACAUUAUUUCCUAGUACAUACGAUUUGGAGACUAGAGCCAACAAUAGAAUAGCAAGAAAAUAGAAUGUUUCCUUAGUCUCCAGUUUGUUAGAUUUUUCAGGUAUGAGAAUGACCCAAUGCCCAGAGUAGAGAAAGGAUGAGAGCUAUCCAGCUUAUUUGCCAAGAAAUUGACAAGUUACUAUUCAAAAUGUUCACUACACCAUUAGUUCCCCAGGUGCUUCUUUUUCUUUUCUUAGAAAUUGGAAAAUCUAUGGUUAUAAAUUUUAAAGAUGUUCAAGAUUUGAGGAAGCAUUCUGUCCCUGGAUUCUUUCCCUUUGUUAGUUUUCUACUGCUUCCUUAACAAAUUUCCACAAAUAUAGUGACUUAAAAUAGUUAUCACUCACAGAUGGUGGCAAAUUAGGGCUUGGCCACGUCUUUCUUGUAUCACAUUUGCACUAAUUAUUGGUUUAAAGAAAAUACUCUAUUAUUUUAACAAGCAUUGUGAUACUUUUAAAUUCAAGUGUGCUACAUAUUUUAACAUAUUCUGGAAUAAUAACAUUGUAUUCUAAAUAGCAUCAUUUUCUUUAUCGAGGCAGUUCUCUUACAUGGAUAGGUAAGUUGACAGUUACCAAAUUGAUAUUCACCAAAAGCUUGAUAAUCAUCUACAUUAUGCAUAUUAGUUUCAGGAGUUCAGCUUCUUGCUGAAAACUUCACAUUUUAUAAAUAUUCAGUUAUAAAUAAAGGUUAAAGACCAAAUUCUUAAAAAUGAAAAAAAAAAACCACUUUUCCACACUAACAUUCAAAUUUAAAUUGAACAGCCACAGUUAUGUUAGAAAAUCACUUUCCAACAUCUUUUGUAUUUCACUAAGAACAUAUAUUCCUAUUAUAUCAACUAUUUUUUUCUUUGAGAAUACCAAAUAAUAACAUUGACUUCUUCUAAAGUUAAAGUAAUUUUAGAUAAAAAUACUUCCAAAGAUAAUUAUUAUUACUAAACAUUUAUUCGUCCAGAAAGGAAUUCUAUUUUAGAGUGUGGUGUAGAAUGCAAGUGUGACCUUUCAGUUACAAUUAUCUAUGGUGUAAAUUACAAGCAAUAAAGUUUAAUUAUGCUAUAUUUAUGCAAAAUGAGGUGAUUAAACAUACAUAUAAGGUAUUAGCAUCAUGAGAAAAUCAGUAUUUAUGAACAAUCUGAAUUAUUUUUUUAUUUUCUGGGAUGUUAGAAAUAAGAUUGGAAAUUUAAAUUGUUUCUUUAGCAUGCAAGGUAGAUAUAUACAAUUAAUUAAAAUGAGUUUGGAGUAAAUACUACCCUGAAAUGUUUGACAUUUCAAAAAUAAAUAUUGUACAGCUACACAAUACACAGAAACAAAAAUCAAUUUUUUUCUAUUUAAAUUAUAUUUCUGGUUAUAUAAUUUGUUAUAGAUCUCAAAAAUUACAGUAUUCAGCAUUAUGAUAAAUGAAACUGCAUAUUUUAAUUUCUUGCUGUAUGAGAAAAGAAACACACACAGACACAAGGAUACACCUGGGAGCUGACACAGGCUUAACAGCCAAGAGCACAGAGGCAGAUGUACAGUACAAAUUUCCUUUGCUCUUAGGUCAUGAGUCCUAUUGUUUUCUUUCACAUGCUUUUUCUUUUCUGACUUUGCUGAACUUCCUCAAGUGUUUCUACUCACUGAGAUGUUCUGGUCUGAGAAAGUUCCCUUAGAAUUUAGAAUUUCUCCACUAAGCCUGUUCCCCUGAUUAAAUAGUAAAUAAUGAUAGAAUUCCUGUAAUUUCCUAUGCUGAAAAACAUGCACAAAACAGCAUUGUCUGGUGAUAUGUACAUUAAUUGAAUGAGCUGCUCAGAAAGUUAUAAAUUAAUAUGACUGAAGAUUUAAACUUUUAGAGAAAAAAAGUGACAAUAAAAAUUGAAUGCUCAGUGUUUUCAAAUAAUUGUUUCUUUUGCCUUCAUUAACAUUAUGUUGGACAAAACAAAAUUAACUCUGUUUUAUUUGCUACAAAGCCUGUACUUGCUUUUUAAGAUUCAUGAUAAAGUUUCCUUUUGUUUUUAAAGAAAAAAAAAAAAAAACAUACCAAAAAAAAAAAAAAAAAAAAAAAAAAAACACAGAACAAAGCAGAUCAGAGCAAAACAAUACAAAUAAAACAGGAUUUCAGAACAGGACAACAGGAAAUCAACAGUGGCUAGCAUAAUGUCUCUCGUUUUUGUUCAAAUAGUUGCCCAUACCCUCACACACAAUAAGUUAACAUAAAUUAAGAAAUUUUAUGAACUUAAUAGAUGUGUACAGAGUGUUCCACCUCACAACAACCGAAUAUACCUUCUUUGGAGCUUCACAUGGGACAUUCUCUAAAACAGACCAUAUACUAGCCCAUAGAACACGUUUAAGUAAAUGCAAAAGAAUUGAAAUUAUCCCAUGCAUAUUAUCGGAUCACAGCACUAUAAAACUGGAAAUUAAUGACAAAAGAACCUGAAAAAUUCCAUAAACACAUAGAAAUUAAAUUAUAUACUCCUUAACAAUCAAUGGUUCACAGCAGAAAGUAAACAAUAUCUACAAGUAAACAGAAAUACAAAUGCAACUUAUUGGUGCCUGUUGAAUGCAAUGAAAGCAGCCCUCAGAGGAAAAUUUAUUACAGUGAACUCCCACAUAAAAAAAAAAAAGAAUGAACACAAACAACCUGAUGCUACACCUCAAACAUUUAGAAAAAGAAGAGCACCUCGAGCUCAAAGAAGGGAGGAGAUUAUCAAUGAUCAAAGUAAUGGAGAUCAAUGUAAUAGAGACUAAGAAAACAACACAAAGAAUUAAUGAAUCAAAAAUUCAGUUCUUUGAAAGAACAAAUAAAAUUGGUAAGACUCUAGCCAACCUUAUUAUUGAGGGCUGAAAGUCCACCUUUGCAUUCAUUGGGGUGGUUUUGCCAGCUUUCAAUGAAAGUUUUGAUUUAUUGGAUAUGUGUUUAAGUCCAUCUUGUGCAUUCUCGUUCUUUCUUAUAUUGUUUAUUCAAGAUUUCAACCAUUUUGUUGUGUUCUUCUAUUUUUUUUAACUAUGCUUUAACUACAUGUGUUCAGUAUUUCUUUCAUUAUAAACGUUCUUGUUUUACCUAGGAGAUUAUUUGUGAUUUGAGUUCCUUUAGAGCUUCAUGGAGUUUCUUAACUUCAAUUACUACUAUUGUUGAAGUUUCAGAUGCAUGGCUUACAUUUUUUUCUAUGUCUGUGUCUUCUAUGCUCAUUUGGGAUGGGCUGGAAGUUUGUGAUUGCAUUUUGCUGUUUCAUUUUGUCAUUUUCCUAAAUUCCCCUCAGCAAGUUGAAUGCAAAGUAUCGGUAGUUUCUUGGAUUGAGGCUUGCUGUCUGCACUGCAGGAAGUUUCCCUAGGUGAGUGGAGGACACUAGGAAGUCCUUCCUUCAUUUCUAGUGGCUGCUCAAAUAUAUGGGGUUCACUGGGUCACUGAGUGGACUUUCAGUACAUCCCACAUGUCUCACCAAACUUUCCUGGCUGUUGAUGUUACUGGGCAGGGCCCUACCAGGUUCUGAGUGGCAUACUAAGCCUGAAUGAUAUGUGGCAUACAGUAGGCACAUGAUCAGCUCAUGUCACAUUACUCACCAAAGUGCCCUGGCUUCUUAGAGUCUCUGGGUGGGGACCACCAGGUUCUAUGCAACAUACCAAGGCUGCACGGCUAGGUGGAGUUCACUGUGGAGGCCUUCAGCUUGUGUCAUUCAACACCUGGAAGCUCCUGGUUUCUUGGGGGUCACUGCAUAGGGCCCAACCAGGACCUAUUCCAUAACCCAAAGGUCCCUGAGGAUUUGGGGAUACUAGGUAGGUCCCUAUCAGGCUCUGAGCAAAGUCUCUUAGCUGCACAGCUAGAUAGAGUUUGCUGUGGAGGUCUUCAGCUCACACACAGAGCCUCACAGCUACCUGAGGAUUGCUGGGCGGGGCCAAACCAGGACCCGGGUGAUAGACUCAAAGAUCUUAAACUGUUUGAAGAUGCUGAGUAGAGCCCUACUCUAUUCCAAGCAACAUCCGAAGGCUGUACAGCUAGAUAGAGUUCACUGUGGAGCAAAAAUUUACUUCUAAUUUCAAGAGUAGGGCUGAGGGUACAACUCAGUGGCACAGGACUUUGUCUUUCAGGUGCAAGUUCAUGAGUUUGAUUGCUGGUAUCAAUAAAUAAAUAAACAGUAAAAUAAAAUCUUAAAAGUUCAUUUGCUUAAUUCUUUGUUUAGGGAAAGACAAAUAUUUCUUGGAAAUAUAAUUUGUAUUUUUUGACAUAUUCUUGACCAGUAUAUUCUAAGAAAUGAAUGUUCUUGCAGGUAACUUUGUUAAGGAAGAACAUUUUAUAUAUAAAUAGGUAGACAGAUAGAGAGAAACAGAAACAAAAAAGAUUAAGAUACAGAUAUAAAUGUCUAGAUAUAUCUGUAGAUACAUUUAGAUAUAAAUAUAUACAGACAUACACAGUUACACACAGACACACUGUUCUCUUCAGUGCAAUGAAGUAGAAAACACCAGUAGAAACCCAGAGUGUUAAAUAAAAUGAAGACUCUGGUUACAGUUUCUGUUACCUUUCUGGAGGCUACAUCUUAUAACUCAAUGUUUAGUCUUCAAACCACCAUUUGGAGUCUGACAUUGUCUCACUAAUACAUUUUCAGUUAUUAAAUACAAUGUCUGCUUCUUCUGUGUUUGCAUAUAAAUUUCCACAGCCUGAUGUACAUUUUAUAACUGUCAGCCUAUUUGAUUAGUUCCAAAUAGAGAUUUUACCAAUCUCCAUUCUUGCUCAGUAUCAGCAGUCUAUAAAUUGCUGGAGAAAUAAAUUUUAAACAAAAUGUCCUCCCAACUCAGAAUACUUCUCUACAAUGGUGAAGAGGGGAAAAUGCACUGUAUUGUGGAAUAAUUAUUAACCAGGCUGUGAUGCUCAGACCUGGCAGUGCCUUAAGAGAAUUCAAAAGUGGAAAGAAGUCUCAUCUUCUCUAGGGCCAAGUGGAUUCAACUCAUUACCUGCACGCUCUCACGACAACAGAACUUGUUUUCAAGUUAGAGGAUUUAACAGCACCAUUUGUCACCCAUAUUUCAUCCCAGAUUUUCCUGAGAAUUCUGGUGAUCAUGCAUCUUAACUAAUUUGUUUUAUCGAGAGGAUAAACUUAGACUUCUAUGACAAGCAGUAGUUUGCUUCUUGGAACCAAAUGCUCACCAAAAUUAUUCUAUUCCCUUCUUAUAGAGACGUAGAUAUAGGGCUAUUAUUUUCCUCGACUGUUGUGUUUCAGAGGUCAUCAGUAGGUCCUUGAAAAAGUGAUUUCUAGGCCUUAAAACUGAUAGGAUGUUUAGCUUUUAUAAAAAAUCAUGUACAUUUCAAAAUUUAAAGACUAAGAAAAGGAGAUUAUGGUAGACAAGGUUUCUCCUCUUAAUUUUAAGAGGAAAAUGUUUUUAUUCUUUUCUCUGUUGGUAUUUACUUACUGCAUUGUAGCAGUAACAGCACAGUUGCUAUAGCCAGCAUAAUCACGGGGAAAGGCUGAAUGACAGGACUUCGAAUAUCAUGUGCUCUAGGAAUAUUUGUGAUAAGAAUUCUAUUUUCACUGAAUAAGUAAUGACUGUCUAAAUGUAAAAUAAUCAGUGCAAUGGAAAUAUUUUUCUACACUCACCAAAAUCUUGUUCAAAGUCUUACUUGCGAAAAACUAUAUAUACAAAGUAAAGGACUGGUACUAAAAAAUAUAGAGGAAAAGUACUCUAAUCUAGUGCAGUCACUAUAUCUAAUAUUGAAUCUUAUUUUAUUACAAUUGUUUUACAUAUUUUAUACAUUCUUUAACCUAUUAGUCUGAUUUUCAGUCUGAAUAUAUGAUAAUUAACUUAAAAAGCUAUAAAAUAAAUGACUCUGAUGCUCAAAAGCAAAAUGAGGUAGAAGGAAAGGAAAAAUAAUAUUUGAAAUGUGCUAUGAACAUAUACCAGUUCCCUACAGUGAAUGUAAUCAUUAUGUAUUACAAGCAUAUAUUAAUAAAAGUCAAUGAAACAGAAUUAGAAAAAUUAGUAUAUGGAGGACAAUGAGGUUAAGGGUAAGAUUAGAUAAUUUCUCUACACAAGAUUUUAUGAUUUUCACCUCUUUAGAAAGGGCAACAGGCACAGUGUUUAAGUUUACUAGUCAAGUGAUCAGUAUAAUUUCUUCUGAAUAGUUGAUUAUAAUUUUAUUUAACUUUGUGAUAGUUACCAUGAUCUGUUCAGGGAAAGAUUGAGUUACGUGUUAGUGUGUUUUAAAUCUUGAAGAAAGAGAGGUUUUGUGAUCCAAGCAUAACUUUAGGUUCUUACUUCUCUGACUAGACUUGAAGGAUAAUUGGAUCCAAGAAAUAGAAGUGCUUAAUUUAUAUGAAAUAGUUUUAGGCACCAUUUAAAAACAGAUUUGAUUUUUAAUGAAGUAGGUCCUGGGAAUUAUACAGAGAGGGGGGAAGAAUGUUAAAGUGCCUGGCAAAAUGUGAAUGAUCACAGAGGUCUAACAAGGUGGGGUGAGGGAAGCAUUGUCCUGUUGCUGAGAUACACCAAGCUCAUUUGCCCCUAUGGCAUCCGUAUACACCUGAUGUUCCUAGAAAGCAUGCAUACCCACUAAUUUCAUUUGAGUCUUUGCUCAGUGUUACUUCUUCACAAAGGCUGUCUCUGCACAGCUAUUGAAAGUAGUUUCCACUGUCCCACAGUUGGUUACUCUACAGUUUCUUCAGGACAUGAUAACCACUGAAUUUAGAAUGUUAUGUUACAUCUUUCCGAAUAAUACAUGGCUUGGCUGGUAAUAGAAACUUUGUAUAUCCUAUUCAUAAUAAACUUAGAACAUAUACCAAUAAUUAAAGAAAAAAGUACCCAAUUGCACAAAUUUAAAGGAGAGAAAUACAUUGAUUUCUGAUAAUAAGAUGUAGAAUUUCUAGUAGAAAACAAAACUGGCAAAAUUUCAAUUUUUAAAUUUUGCUCACAUGUCAAAAUUGGGGAUUUAAAACAACUUUCAAUAUUUAUUUUAGAGUACUUGAUUUAACUGAACUUUGUCCUUAGAAACCCUCUGAUGGUGUUCACUAACCCUCUGAAAGAGUAUAGCAUUGCUGUAGUGGGUUCAAUCAUUGGGAUAAUUGACUAAAUUCAAUUCAAUACUGAAUUACAAUGGGUAUAAAAUCAGUGAUUUUGAUAUAUCUAAAAAAUUACAACAUUAUAUUAAGCACCUGUAAUUAUGUCAUUAAAGUAAUCAAAUAAUUACGCUGAAUAUUGUAGAUCAUAUUUUAUUUGCAAAACUUAUCAGAUAAUGAGUUAAUAUGCUUCUUUUUCUUUUAUUUGAAAUUAUGCUGUCUUUGCCUAAGCAUUUAGUAUAGUGUUAGACAAACUGUGCACAUUCAAGAAGUGUCUGUCACUAGGGUGUGUGAAUGAAUGCUUAUUGUGAGAAACUAAUCUUAGAGUUUGAAAAGUUCCAGAAAAUAUUGGCAUAUUAUGCAAAAAGGUAGAGAACAUCACACUGUGAGAAUCUAAGUGAAGCAGCAAGUACAUUAAAGCUAGGCGUUUGUGGCAUCUCUUAAUAAUCCCACUGCUAGGUGGCUAAGCUUGGAUAGACUUCAAGUUUAAGCCCAUCCUGGGAAAUUGAAAGAGCUGCCAUCUCAAAAUAAGAUAGUAAAUAGUACUGGUGAUGUAGCUUAGUAGUAGAACACCUCUCUACUGCAAAAAAAAAAAAAAAAAAAAAAAAAAAAAAGCAGGCCGUUUAAAUUGUGAGAAACUGAAUGACUUGUGAAUAUUUUUAGUUUUAUUGAUUAAAUAUUGUAUUUCAUUAGGUUGAUCAGUUUUAUCAAGAAGUAUUCAUAAAUCAACUUGUAAGAGUCAAGUGCUCCAUAUUCUGUAUGUAAAGAUCAAUCAAUAGAAGCAUCUUUGACAAUUUUAUUUCUACACGGUUGUACACAAACUACAAUGUUUUCAACUAACUGAAUCUAGUUUAGUCCAAUACAUUUUCAAUGUUUUUUAUUUAUUCAUAACUUUUUACAAAAAUGAGAAACUAGGCAAUACUUACCAUUCUUUGUAUUAUACAUAUUAAUGUACAAAUUGUGAACCACAGGAUUCUCCAGAGAUUAAUAUGGAGCUAUAAAAAGAGAGCAAAACAUUUAAAAUAGUUGCUACAGUUCAUGUCUAGAUGUCACAAAACCUCUUGAGUUCAUGAUAGGGCUUUGAGGAGGCAGCUGGAUUGUGGGUGUAGUGUGCUGCAUUAGAUGGGUUUGGCUUAGCAUGGUCACGGGAGAUGGAAUUACUGAAGAAGGAAAGCCUGAGUGCAGUGGCACCAAACAAUAGUCCUGUAGCCUGGGUAGAAUUCAAAAGCAUAGAAGAAAGGCAGGCUCGUCGCUUUUUUGUCUGCCAUAGAAUGAGCAGUUUCUCAUUUGCCUUGGGGAUGUUCAACUAAACCUUCACCAUCUAUGAGCUAAAGUAAUUCUUUUCACCUUUGAUUUAUGAGUGUCUGCUAUGCUGUACAAGCAAUAAGAAACUAAGAAAUAGUUUAAAAGAAACAGUGAAAAUGAAAUCUUUUAUCUGAAAUUAGAUGUCUACAUUUCUAAUAAUGUUUCUUAUCAAAAUUUCAGAAAAUGGGAAUACAUUGAAGGGACUAUUAUCUCAGUGUUACUGAUGCAGUUCAGAAUGGGGAAUUAUGUUUUUUGAAGCCACAUUUCCAAUAGAUCAGAAGUCAGUCUUAGGAAUAAUCUGAUGAUCUGUAUGUAUUCCUGGAUCCAGUGAAACACUGCUAUAUUUAGUGAGCAGAAUCUUGUGAGAUCCUUGAUUAAAUAAAUUGAAUUAAUUUAAAAAGCCGCUAGAGUUAGGUCUUUGUUAUUUAAGGUAUUUUCUUUUCAUGUAUUCUGUCACAGCUUAGAUAUCUUUUAUAAAUUUAUAGCAUUAUAUGUGAUUAAAACACAAAACUUUCUUUUGGGGACCAAUAACAUGAUGACAUUAAUGUGUUAUACUGAGUUCUGCCAGAUUAAAUUGCAGCCUCGGUAAUGAGAGUAUGUACAGAGCUGAGUAAUAGCAGUAGCUUCAGGAAAAGCAACAGUAUGUGUGGUAUCUUCUGUCAUGUAUGAUGAGAUUACCAUAUUUGCUAAAAUACAAACUGAAAAUAUAAAAAUCAAGUGUAAUAUUCAUUAAUUUUAAUCUUUUGACUUUUUUAAAAUACUUAAACCAUUUAAAUGUUAACAUUUAAACACUUGAAAUGUUCUUGUAAUCAGUAGUAAGGUUUCAGUUAAAUCAUCAAGGAUAUAGCUCAAUAAAGUAUUUCCUAGUAUACCCUGAACAUUUUUUAUUGGAUUUACCCCUUUACAUAAUUUAUGUAUCAAUUAGCCCUGGAAACAGAUGCAUGGCAUCAUUUAUUAUUCCUGUGUUAAGUUAAGGAAUUGAGGCUUAUAGUUAAAAGACUUUCUGAACAGCCUUGUGGUUAACUGUUUAUUUUGUUCAAAACAGUUGGCAUUAAAUUAUCACUCUAUAUAACCAGCUUAGAAUUCCAGAAUUUCAACUUUGUGUCUGUUCCUUUGCCAGAGCCUUCAAAGAAUUAAAAGCUAACACAUAUACAACCAAUAAAAAUAUAUCAUUUAAUCAUUGAGUUUGUGGCCAAGAAAAUAAAGAUUAAUCCUUCUUAAUUAUUAAUGACAUGUAACUCUCAGACUCAGGAAGACAUGCUCUCGGUAUGGAAUUAAAUCGUACUGCAGUAAGUGAUCAUAGAAACAAGGCUAAAGUGCUAUACAAACAAUAUGGAAGUUAGGCUCAGUUGUCUCUGGUAAGACAGACUUGAACUACAGCUCACAGGAACACAAUAUGUCUAAAAAUGCUUUAACCAAGAUGAACAUGAAGAAUUGGAAGUUGAUAAAGUCCUGCUAGACCCCCUUUGACCUUGCCAUUUACCGAAAGUGUUGUUAGCAAUUCCUCUCUCUCUGGAGUUUUAGUCAGUGUGUCAAAACUAAAUAUUUUCUUCCUGAGAGCGUCUCCAAAUCUCACAUCUGAAUGCUGACCUUCUUAGCCAGUGGCUGAAGGUACAAGUUUCUUCCCUCUGAUUGUGGAGGGGGAAGUGUGUUUGUGGUACAAUUUUACCCAUAGCUUUCAAAUGGCUUAAUACAAUGAGACCACAGAUGAAAACUAAUUCUUCUAUAGCUUUUCUUUUCUUAUGUUAUCCCAGUUUAUUUACUGACUUUCUUCCUCUUCCUUCCUCUUCCUCUUCUUCUUCUUCUUCUUCUUCUUCUUCUUCUUCUUCUUCUUCUUCUUCUUCUUCUUCUUCUUCUUCUUCUUCUUUUAUUUUGAAGGUAGUAAAAUACAACAAAACAAGACAGAAGAAAGCCAAUCGAGACAAUGCAGUGAAAUUGGUACAUAACUUCAGAGCAGGAUACUGGGAUUAACGGCAAUUCAGUGAAAGACAAAUGGUGUUGUAUCAGUGGAAGAGAUACAAAUUAAAAUGCUGCAUGGAGUCAAGCAAGUAUUGUUAUGAAUGUAUGGAUUCCUGAUACAUAAUACACAUGUGGAUGGGUGGCUAUCAGUAUCUAUAUGUUCAUCAGAACUUUGAAAGCAAGGCCAUUAGUUUCCUCAACUUUCUGUUUGUCCUGUUCUAUUCAUUCAGUGUUACACUGGUUUAAUCCUAUUCAAAUUUCUCACACCUAGAACUACACAUUUCAUGUAAUAGAGAUUAUUGAAAUGUACUUGGAAAA
Cavia porcellus (domestic guinea pig) is the source of this 13694-nucleotide long non-coding RNA. RefSeq lists it as uncharacterized. Lineage: Eukaryota; Metazoa; Chordata; Mammalia; Rodentia; Caviidae. The record is from RefSeq and is a predicted model, not a curated record. The transcript is spliced from 5 exons.